AUGUUCUGUGGAAUGCGAAAUGAAAACAGGCAGGUGUUCCAUUUUGAUGGCCAGGUCCUUCCAUCUUGUGGCUACCCAUCCCCUGGGCCUUGCUGUCAAUUGCAUCAAGAUAGAAGAAGGAACAGACAGUGGAGGAGGUAUGUCUGCUUCUUAAACUGUUUCAGCCCUGAAAGUAGCAUGCCUCAUUUCUGCUCACAUUUCAUUGGCAAGAGUUGGUCACAUGGCCACCUCAGGAUGCAAGGGAGGCUGGGAAAUACAGUUCCUGGCUGGAGAGCUGCUUCCUGGUCAUCACUGUAUCACAAGCCUUGGGAGCAGUGGGAUUUGUAGACAACAACCCUCUGUUGUGUAGCACACUUUGACAAGUUGACAACAGUAUGGCCAUAAAGAAUACAUUGAACUCAGUUAAUUCAGACUGGGAGAGAGGUCAAGAAAAGCUUUGGGGAGGGAGUGACGUUUGAGCUUUGUUUUAAGAAUCUAAGUAAACCAGGUGAAGAAGAAAGUGAUUUGGGGCAGAGAAAGCUUGUGAAACAUGAGGUAUAGAAGUAUAUGGCCUAUUCGGAGGACAAAAGUAGUGCAAUAUAUGUGGAUUGUAUUGUGGAGUCAGGAUAAGGAGGUGAGCCAAAAUGGGUGGCUAAAGAGGUUUUAGAUUCAUAGGAAAUGUUUGUAGGGUGUAGAAUCCACAAGGUUUGGCUGAGGGGUGAGGUCUGAGAGGUAGUAAGAGGCCACAUCACCUAAGGCCUUGUAACUGUGGGUGAAUUUUCAAUCUUACUGUAAAUAAGACAAAACUAAGGAGAGCUGGACUGUGAAGAAAGCUGAGUGCUGAAGAAUUGAUGCUUUUG
This 839-nucleotide long non-coding RNA is filed under the name Capra hircus (goat). Its description in RNAcentral is "lncRNA (ENSCHIG00010025137.1)". Lineage: Eukaryota; Metazoa; Chordata; Mammalia; Artiodactyla; Bovidae. The record is from RNAcentral.